RNAcentral lists this long non-coding RNA (1068 nucleotides) under Phasianus colchicus (ring-necked pheasant). RNAcentral's name for it is "lncRNA (ENSPCLG00000006263.1)". Lineage: Eukaryota; Metazoa; Chordata; Aves; Galliformes; Phasianidae. The record is from RNAcentral.
UUCUGUCCUUUGAUUAGGUCGGGAGUUGGCGGGGUCAGCUUUCCUCUGUCGCCGUGAAUGAAGUGGAACAAGAAAGCUGUUGUGUGCUUUGAGGGGAAGAGCCAACUGCUGCAAAACAGAGUGAGGUGGUAAGGUCUUUGGCUUGGGAUGUUUGGGGCCAGAAGAGCUGGUUUUGUUCCAUGCAGUUUGUCUCCCCUUGUGUGCAUCUCCCAUGUGCGAUGUCCCAGAAGGUGCCAGGAGAUUCCCACCAGGAGCUUCCCUGUUCCCUCCUGCCUGGUGCUGAGCAGGUACCAGAUCCAGUGUCCUCAGGUGCUGCCUGCUCAUAGCCAGGCUGACUGCUAGCCCCUCUCCUUCCAUUUCACCGGUGUCCUCCUGUUUCUGCUCCACGCCGUAUUGGCUGUCUUCUCACCCUGUAGCAACACAUGCAUUUGAAUAAUGGAAAGGACACCUUAAAUUACGUUGUCUGCAGAUAUUACUGGGACUCCUAGGAUUUGCCAUGCUGGAUCAGAGUGCUGGUCCAUCUCAUGGGGCUCCUGCCCUGCAGCACCUGUGUGUGGUGCAUGGCAGGGCUCAGCUAUCCCAGCGCUCACAGGGAGCACCCCAGGCCCUGCUCAGGGCACCUGUACACUCUCUUUCUGAACUGCUACCUUGACAUAAAAUAGCUUUUCUCUCUUUAUUAAACUCCCGGUAAGAUUUUCUCCCAUUUUCACAAUUCCGUUUCCCCCUCCCCUCCUAUAUUUACAUUAUUUUAAUAGUUUGUUUUAACCAAGCUUGAUUUUUCAGGUCGUCCUUUUACAGCGUGUUAUCAGGAAGAUGUGAAAUAAAUGUGACAAAGUGAUGCAGUCCUUUAAAUCCGCCUUAAUUUUACUGGGAACACUGCUCUGCAGAAGGAAGUCACAAAAUUUGUCUGUGUGGGCAACAGCCCAGAAAAUGCAAUAUGUGUCUGUAUGGGGAGAAAAGGAGCAGAACCUGCCCCAGCACCUAGUGCUAGGGGGAACAAAUCCAUGCCCAAAGGCUCGUGUUAUUUUGUAUUUUUGUCCAAUAAAACUGUAUUUGGAGGCUUACUGA